This 468-nucleotide ribosomal RNA is filed under the name uncultured bacterium. Its description in RNAcentral is "partial 16S ribosomal RNA". It matches the Rfam family "Bacterial small subunit ribosomal RNA", at positions 28 to 507 of the family's 1533-position model. The record is from RNAcentral.
GACGAACGCUGGCGGCGUGCUUCACACAUGCAAGUCGAACGGAAAGGCCCUGCUUUUGUGGGGUGCUCGAGUGGCGAACGGGUGAGUAACACGUGAGUAACCUGCCCUUGACUUUGGGAUAACUUCAGGAAACUGGGGCUAAUACCGGAUAGGAGCUCCUGCUGCAUGGUGGGGGUUGGAAAGUUUCGGCGGUUGGGGAUGGACUCGCGGCUUAUCAGCUUGUUGGUGGGGUAGUGGCUUACCAAGGCUUUGACGGGUAGCCGGCCUGAGAGGGUGACCGGCCACAUUGGGACUGAGAUACGGCCCAGACUCCUACGGGAGGCAGCAGUGGGGAAUAGUGCACAAUGGGCGGAAGCCUGAUGCAGCAACGCCGCGUGCGGGAUGACGGCCUUCGGGUUGUAAACCGCUUUCGCCUGUGACGAAGCGUGAGUGACGGUAAUGGGUAAAGAAGCACCGGCUAACUACGUG